This is a long non-coding RNA of Mercurialis annua (annual mercury), 570 nucleotides long. RefSeq lists it as uncharacterized. The record is from RefSeq and is a predicted model, not a curated record. NCBI's taxonomy places the organism in Eukaryota, Viridiplantae, Streptophyta, Magnoliopsida, Malpighiales, Euphorbiaceae. The transcript is spliced from 3 exons.
CCACGCAUAAGAGAGAAAAAUUGGAAAAAAUGAUGUCCAACCCUCAAGUCACAUAAAAUCAAGCCAAAAUCUCUACAUGAUCAUCAUUCCAGCAUAAUCACACUGAAACAAUAAAUUGGAGAUCCUUCGAGUUGUGGCUGUGGGGAAAUAGUGGAUUACGCGCUCUUUUCGACCGUGAAUCCAUAUUUAUUACUUUUGUGCUUUGUGGAAGCUAUCGAGGUGUGUAGAUUUUAACUGUCAGAUCCAGACUUCUAGUAGUAGAUAUGGAAGUCGUCUUUUUUCCAUGUAUAGUUUUCGCUCCUUGGCACUGCGUAGUUCAGACGUUAUGCUUUUUGGUCAGGGUUUUUAGCGGUUUAUGUUUCUUUUGCUCAGUAACUGAUAUUGUUUAUAAUAUUUUUUAAGGCCUUGUUUUGCCAGUAUAUGAGGUUAGUUGUGUAUAUAAACUGACAUAGCUGGUUGAUGUGUAUGUAGUCUCUGCACUCUGAUAUGUGUAUAUGUACGUAAAUAUGUUUAUAAAAUGGUUUGCAAACUUUUCAACAGGCACGGUUGGUUAAGUUUACAGCCAUUAUG